RNAcentral lists this long non-coding RNA (279 nucleotides) under Prunus persica (peach). Its description in RNAcentral is "long non-coding RNA (PPER_LNC000770)". Lineage: Eukaryota; Viridiplantae; Streptophyta; Magnoliopsida; Rosales; Rosaceae. The record is from RNAcentral.
AGAGUUGUUUGUCUUUGAGAGCACAAUACAGUAGUAUCAAAAAGAUGUGACUUGAAGGUGUUCCUCAGGAUACUCAGCAUAUGCACAGAGGCAUGUGAAUAUACAACAAGGAAUCUCUACGUUUAGUAAGAAGAGAGAAUACUCUACAGAUAUGAUUUGUUGAAUCUUUGACCAAAGUAUAGGAUGAGAAUUGAAACAAGAAUGUUUGCAAUACAUCCAAGUGAAUCAUAUAAACUAGAAAUGUCGUGUGAGGGAUUUGACACGAGUUAACCAUAUCCC